UGAUUGUUUGUUGUCCAGCAA
RNAcentral lists this non-coding RNA (21 nucleotides) under Caenorhabditis elegans. The record is from RNAcentral. Lineage: Eukaryota; Metazoa; Nematoda; Chromadorea; Rhabditida; Rhabditidae.